AGUCCAUAACUAUUUUGGUAUGUACUUGACCCGAUGGUGCAUGGUCCUUUUGGGUUGCCUUCACCAAAGCAACUUGAUAGGAUGAAUUAUGGAGAGAAAGGAUUAAAUAUGAUUUAUUAAUAUAUUAUGAGAAUAAUAUAUUAAAGGAGAAAUCAUAUUGUUUAAUUAAUAUUAGUCAAGAAUUAAUAAGAAUUAAGUUUGUGGCUAAAAGAGAUUAAUUAAACUUAAGGGACUUGAACUGUCAAUUGUAUGAUAGUUGAAUAUUGAGCUAAUAGACUUUAUAUUAAAGGGGUGGACGAAUUCUAUGGGGAAACCCAUUAGAAAUCGUCCUAGGGCCUUUAAGGAAGGAGUCCAUGGGUUGCUUAGGGCUUAAGCAUCCAAAUUAGGGUUUCCUUGUUUGAUAACCCUAAUAGCUUCACUAUUUAAAGAUCCCUAGAGCACCAAAAACGUGGGCAAGUAACUCCUUAGGGUUUUGGACGGUUUUUGGGUGUCUCCUUCUCUUCUCCUCUUCAUCCUCUUGCUCUUGGUGUUUGUGAGCCAUUAGAGGAGUGACAUUUGUGACUCUAAGCUUUCUAAAGUCAAUACAAGAAGGAAUUGAGAUUGUUAUUACUAUAUAACAAUCAAGGUAUGAUCUAAAACCUUAUUCAUAUGUUAUUUUGAUUAGAUCUAGGGUUUAAAGUCUUGGAUUAAAAGCAUGUACAAUAGAGAAACCUAGAUGCAAGCUUUAGGGUUUGCAUGAGCACAUAGGAUGUCUUUUGGCUAAAACCCAUCACUUCCUUCCACAAAGCAGCACCGCCGACCGCUGAUGUGACAACCCGAAAUUUUUAUCUGGUAAAGCCAAUCAAUCCAAUCAAAUGUCAGACAUGUUUUUGCUAUCUUUUAGCAUUGUUAGGGGUUUGUUUGAGUGUUCUAAGCCUAGUACACUUAAGGAUUAUGUGUAGGAGUGUGUCAGCUUAAGUUCAGUGGGUUGCAAAAGAGCUGGAAACUCCAUCACAAGGAGUUUACAGCCGCAAACUAGAGUGUAACGACCCAAAAAUUAGGGGUAAAAAUUUUAUUUUUAAUAUAGCUAAACAUAGAUACCAUUUAUUCCAAACAUUCCAAAAAAUUGUUAAUUAUAAACAUUUAUCAGAGUUUGUCCCAAAAUCAUUCAUUGUGGAAAUCAUAGGUGUGUGCAUCACGAUCAAUCCGAGCCCUUCUUUUUCUAAAUCGACGAUACCUGAAACCAAAACUAUAAACCGUAAGCACGAAGCUUAGUGAGUCCCCCUGAGCAUACCCCACGCACAAUCCACAUAACACAUAUCGUAUUAGCUUUAAUAGUUAUCUUUACCGCAUAAUACAGAGCAAGUGGCUAUAAAAGCUACCUCUACCACAUAUCACAUAUCAUUUAGCUAGAAAGCUAUCUCUACCAUUAUCACAUAUCAAUCAGCUAUGAAAGCUAUCUCUACCAUUAUCACAUAUCGAUCAGCUAUAAAAGCUACUUCUACCACAUAUCACAUAUCAAAUAGCUAUAAAAAGCUAUCUCUACCAUUAUCAAAUAUCAAUUAGCUAUACAAGCUAUCUCUACCGUUAUCCAUAAAGGCUAUCUCUACCAUUAGCCACAAGGCUAUCUCUACCAUUAGCCAUAAGGCUAUCUCUACCAUCAGCCAUAAAGUUUGUCUCUACCACUAGCCAAAAGGCUAUCUCUACCAUUAGCCACAAAGGCUAUCUCUAGCGUAUAUCAUGCAUACAUACAUAUCACACACUUCUACAUAGCAAGUAUACCAACUAUCAUAAAAUGGGCCGACCUUGGUGCCUUAGACCCAUUGGUAUGGUGAGAAGACUCACCUAUCGAAUACUGAACUGAUAAGCUGAAGUCAGACAUAUCCCACACGGUGCUCCUUCUCAACUGCCCAUAAUCAUCAGGUGAUUAGCUUGACACAAUCCCAUAAAUACCCUCAGGUCAACCCUGGUCAAAGUCAAAGUCUAUAGUCAAGGUCAACAAUCCAUAUUAACCUUGACUCGCCGAGUACAAUCAUUCACUCAUCGGGUUCCCUGCUUAACUCGCCGACUCGUCGAGUUCCUUGGUGUUUAUGGCCGUAAACCACCAACCGUACACCUUUGACCAAAAACCCUUGGCCGUACACCCUUGGUCGCACACCCUUGGCCGUGAACCCUUUCGACUCGCCGAGUUACAAGAAUGACUCGACGAGUUCCCAAGUAUUCGGUCCUUUGUAGUGGGAUUUAAGGUCCCAAACAUCAGAUUCAUAUUCUCCUAGUGACAAUACCACGUAAAGUUGCCAACUUUAUGUUCAUACUAAGUCUCAUAAUGCCAAAACCACAUCAACAAGCUUCUUACAAGUCCCAAAUGCAUGAAUAAGAGUUAGGGUGCACCAAUGAGACAACUUUAUGACAUCUGGGACCUAAGAAGUUCCAGAUCUGGAACCAUAUCCUUGUGAUUGGUCCAGAUCCAAACUUGCUUCCAUUUCCUCAAGAAUGGCCAUAAUCUCCACAAAGAAAUCAAAGCUAAAAGUAGCAGAUUAAUACCUCAGACAGAUGCCCAAUACGAAAUAGGUGCUAGAUCUAGUGUUUUCCCCUUGAUUCUUCUUCUCCAAACUUGGAUUCCUUCCCAAAUUCCCAAAGUCAAGCUCUCAAAUGCACACACUUCACACACUAGGGAGUGUGCGGCCGUAGAUAACUUCUAGGGUGUAAAAUGGAGGCUACUAGGGUUUUUAAUGAUGUUUAUAUAGGGGCAAACCCUAAAAUUGGGGUUUUCCUUAAACAAUGCUGACUUGCCGAGUCGGCCUUCCGACUCGCCGACUCUCUUUCGACCCGUGCCCAAAAUGCCUUGAACCUACUUGACGAGUUGGACUCCCAAGUCAUCGAGUCCAUGCAUAACAUUUCCCCCAAAUGGUACUUUCUAACUGAUACUCGAAACAGGUGUUACAAGUCUCCCUCACUUGAACUAGACUUCUUCCUCGAAGUCUACUGUCCCAAGCAAAUCUGGGUAAAACUCUCGUAUCUUUCUUCUGGAUCCCAAAUCCAUUCGGAGCCCCUGCGGUGUCAUUGCACCUAUACCAAUCUUGUUUCCCUAUUUUGAAGACCUUUGGUCUUCCUAUCAAGAAUCGCAACCUGCUUCUCGAUAUAGUUCGGACUCUCAUCCAUCUAAAUGUCAUCUAAUGAAACGUCUGCGGACUCGACCAUGAACCCUUCCGAAGCUGAGACACGUGGAAGGUGUUGUGAGUCUGGCUAAGCCCCUCUGACAGGUCCAAGUGAUAUGCCACAUUGCCCACCUGGGCUGAGAUCUUGAACGACCUGAAAACUGAGGCCCCAUCCUGCCUCUCUUCCGAAACCUGAUAAUCCCUUUCCAAGGAGACACCCUUGGAAACGUGAAAUCCAAGAAUGAAUGAAUUACUUGCAACUUAAUCACAUUUGCUUCAUCUAAAAUAUGAAGUUUCGAGAUGGCUUGUCUCUGUGACAGAUUGCCCACAUCGACUCAUCAUCGAACUGGUUCCACGAGAAAACUAGUCUAAAUAGAUUACUUCCCACUCGCAAUACCUUGAGGUUCCCUAAAUAACAAAGUCACCGAUCAACCGUAGCUAACGAAUAACAAGCAAUUCACACACAUACCCCAAAUCAAUGAAAUCACUCCUACUCCUCUUGCUGCCACAUCGCUGUUUUCCAAGAAGAGCAACCGGGGACCUCCCUUGCCCCAACCUGUCUACCCACUGUCCAAAACACCGUACACUUACCCGAUUCUGAGCCAAACAACACUCAAAAGUCCCCUGCGACCUCCGAAGGAUACCUCGUAUAACCAUAACUACCCUAUCUCCUUCCAUCCGACAGAUCCAUCCACUCGUGAUAGGCUAAAAACAUGUCGCCACUGAAUCCGACGUAACAAGGUGAGUACUACCAUAAUAGUUGUAGUCUUACAUCAUACUCGAUCGCCAUCAACCUACCAUUUCCUGAUUUCACCAUGUCCUGGCUUUAUAACAACUAGAGCCACCCGAGACACCUCCCCAAUGACUUAAACCACCAUCAAACCAACCCAUUCACCAACCUGGAAUUCUUCCCUCGAGGCCCUUGACAUAUAGAUGCCCCAUAUCCCAUCUCGCUGAAACGAGAUCCUGCAUGAAUUCCCAUUUAAGUUCCUAUCUAAAUCUGAAUCGUUGCUCCUAUCUAGAGAUCCUCGAAUUGGCAUUUGUAUAAUGCACCAUGACCUACCGCCCUCCUUUCUUGUGAUGAGAAUAUUGAGCUAUUAGAUCGAUAGAUUCAAAACAGAUAAAAAGAAAUCAAGAACACAAGAAUGAGACAAAUGAUGUCGAAUGAUUAAUCUCUCACACCUCAGAAGAGCUCGAUGAAGAACUUCGACUGUAGAGGUGUGUAUACGGGUUACAAUGAAAAAGCAAUUAAUGAGAUCUCUAUCUUAACGCUAUACAUGCAUGCAUAAUAUAUAGUCUAACCCUAAUCAUAAACCACAGAUGGACAAGCCCAAUCCGGAUAAAUAAAACAAAAACAUUUAAGCCCGACGCAACUCUAAUACCCAACAAUCUCCCCCUUUGCGUCAAUUGAGGCGAGACUUCAGUUCGGUUGAGCGAGAGAAGACUUCUUGACAGUCUUGAAUACCUUCCGUAUAAUGGCCAACAUAGUUUGACGGAAAGUUAUAUACCACCGAAGCAUGUCCUUGAAGUUCUUUUUUUCUGAUUCACUAUUCUGCUUACAUCUUUGAGUGAUAUCAAGGAUAUGCUCCAAACAAGAAGUCGAGAAAAGAUGUUUGUCAACAAGAGCGAAAAGAAAUAUUUCACCUUCGCUUCUUGUAAACAUGACAGUGAGAUGAGUUGAAUCAAUCUGGCCUAACAUCAUCUUGUUAACAUCUCCAGGCUUCCCAGUAGGCUUCACUGUCAGUCUCUUCCUUAACACGUGAGCAACUUCUUGAUCCAUCUUUGCAACUUCAUGGAUAUAGGAAGUCAGCAUCCUUGUAACAUCCCAAAAGUCAAGCCCGAAAAUUUCAUUUUUGAAUUAAUAAUUUUUAAAACAUUUUACCAUAACAUUGUCAAUAAAGCAACACAUUACAAAAUCAUAAUGUUAUGUUCCAAACAAUGACAUCAAAAAUAAUGAAAAUCAGAGUACAAUCCCAGAAAGUCCGAUGCGGAAUCAUGUGUGUGUGUGAUGCGAUGCUACGCCGUUGGCUCCUUCCCCUUAGAAGAAGUACCUGAAACCAAAACAGAAACCGUAAGCACGAAGUUUAGUGAGUUCCCCCAUCAUACCACAUACCAUAUAAUAUUGUCGGUAUCUUUCAACCGGUAACUUCCAUCGGUAUCUUUCAACCGGUAAUCCUCAUCGGCAUCUUUCAACCGGUAAUCAUCGUCAGUAUCUUUCAACCGAUAAUCGUCAUUGGUAUCUUUCAACCGGUAAUCAUCGUCGAUAUCUUUCAACCGAUAACUGUCAUCAGUUUCUUUCAACCGGUAACUGGGGACUAUUCCACCCCUUACCACUAGCAUACAACAUCAAGAUAUAAACAUACAGUCAGGCAUAUCCGGGUACUGACCUACCCUUCAGUCCUAAGGACCGUUGUCAGGGACUGACCCUAGUAUACACAUAACAUAUCAUACAGAUAAAUCUCAUGACCAAAGUGUUGGAUUAGUGUCUAAGUCCAUAACUAUUUUGGUAUGUACUUAACCCGAUGGUGCAUGGUCCUUUUAGGUUGCCUUCACCAAAGCAACUUGAUAGGAUGAAUUAUGGAGAGAAAGGAUUAAAUAUGAUUUAUUAAUAUGUUAUGGGAAUAAUAUAUUAAAGGAGAAAUCAUAUUGUUUAAUUAAUAUUAGUCAAUAAUUAAUUGGUAAUUAGUUUUGUGACUAAAAGAGAUUAAUUAAACUUAAGGGACUAGAAUUGUAAUUAUAGGGUAAUUGCAAUUUGGGCCAUGGAUUGCCUUGUAUCAAGGGGUGGAUGAAUUCUAUGGGGAAACCCAUAAGGAAAUCGUCCAAGGGCUUGAUUAAAGGAGUCUAU
This 5982-nucleotide long non-coding RNA is filed under the name Lactuca sativa (garden lettuce). RNAcentral's name for it is "long non-coding RNA (LSAT_LNC009094)". The record is from RNAcentral. Lineage: Eukaryota; Viridiplantae; Streptophyta; Magnoliopsida; Asterales; Asteraceae.